GACGAACCGUGCGAGCGUUAUUCGGAAUCACUGGGCUUAAAGGGCGCGUAGGCGGGCCGCCAGGUCCGGGGUGAAAGCCUCCAGCUCAACUGGAGAAGUGCCUUGGAAACCGGCGGCCUCGAGGGAGGCAGAGGCGUGCGGAACUUCGGGUGGAGCGGUGAAAUGCGUAGAUAUCCGAAGGAACACCGGUGGCGAAAGCGGCGCGCUGGACCUCUUCUGACGCUGAGGCGCGAAAGCCAGGGGAGCAAACGGG
This 253-nucleotide ribosomal RNA is filed under the name uncultured bacterium. RNAcentral describes it as "partial 16S ribosomal RNA". It matches the Rfam family "Bacterial small subunit ribosomal RNA", at positions 524 to 776 of the family's 1533-position model. The record is from RNAcentral.